Molecule: ribosomal RNA, 402 nt
Filed under: uncultured Bacillota bacterium
Lineage: Bacteria; Bacillati; Bacillota
Description: bacterial SSU rRNA
Rfam family: Bacterial small subunit ribosomal RNA
Source: RNAcentral
GUGUCCUAUGGGAGGCAGCAGUGGGGAAUAUUGGCCAAUGGGGGGAAGCCUGACCCAACGACGCCGCGGGAAGGAAGAAUGUUUUUGGGUUGUAAAAUUGUUUUCGGGGGGAAGAAGAUGACGGUACCUCCAGAACAAGCCUCGGCUAACUACGUGCCAGCAGCCGCGGUAAUACGUAGGUGGCGAGCGUUAUCCGGAUUUACUGGGUGUAAAGGGCGCGCAGGCGGCCUUGUAAGUCAGAUGUGAAAGAUCAAGGCUUAACCCCGGCAGGUCAUUUGAAACUGUGGGGCUUGAGUGUCGGAGGGGAAAGUGGAAUUCCUAGUGUAGCGGUGAAAUGCACAGAGAUUAGGAGGAACACCGGUGGCGAAGGCGACUUUCUGGCCACAACUGACGCUGAGCGCG